RNAcentral lists this ribosomal RNA (478 nucleotides) under uncultured bacterium. RNAcentral's name for it is "SSU rRNA". It matches the Rfam family "Bacterial small subunit ribosomal RNA", at positions 26 to 518 of the family's 1533-position model. The record is from RNAcentral.
AGGACAAACGCUGGCGGGGUGCAUGAGACAUGCAAGUCGAACGAGGUGCCAUCGGGCUUGCUCGAUGGUUACCUAGUGGCGGACGGCUGAGUAACGUGUAGGUGACCUACCCGGAAGUGGGGAAUAACUGCCCGAAAGGGUGGCUAAUACCGCAUGUGGUCGGCGAUUCGAUUCGCCGUCUAAAGGAGCAAUUCGCUUCCGGAGGGGCCUGCGUCCGAUUAGCUAGUUGGUGGGGUAACGGCUCACCAAGGCGACGAUCGGUAGCUGGUCUGAGAGGAUGAUCAGCCAGACUGGGACUGAGAACGGCCCAGACUCCUACGGGAGGCAGCAGUCGGGAAUUUUGCCCAAUGGACGAAAGUCUGAGGCAGCAACUCCGCGUGAGGGAUGAAGGCUCUCGGGUCGUAAACCUCUUUUCUCAGGGAAGAUCCAAGACGGUACCUGAGGAAUAAGCGACGGCUAACUACGUGCCAGCAGCCGC